GAUGAACGCUGGCGGCGUGCCUAAUACAUGCAAGUCGAGCGAACAGACGAGUAGCUUGCUCCUCUGACGUUAGCGGCGGACGGGUGAGUAACACGUGGAUAACCUACCUAUAAGACUGGGAUAACUUCGGGAAACCGGAGCUAAUACCGUAUAAUAUAUUGAACUGCAUGGUUCAAUAGUCAAAGACGGUUUUGCUGUCACUUAUACAUGGAUCCGCGCCGCAUUAGCUAGUUGGUAAGGUAACGGCUUAACAAGGCAACGAUGCGUAGCAGACCUGAGAGGGUGAUCGGCCACACUGGAACUGAGGCACGGUCCAGACUCCGACGGGAGGCAGCAGUAGGGAAUCUUACGCAAUGGGCGAAAGCCUGACAGAGCAACGCCGCGUGAGUGAUGAAGGUCUUCGGAUCGUAAAACUCUGUUAUUAGGGAAGAACAAAUGUGUAAGUAACUAUGCACGUCUUGACGGUACCUAAUCAGAAAGCCACGGCUAACUACGUG
This 497-nucleotide ribosomal RNA is filed under the name uncultured bacterium. RNAcentral describes it as "partial 16S ribosomal RNA". It matches the Rfam family "Bacterial small subunit ribosomal RNA", at positions 28 to 507 of the family's 1533-position model. The record is from RNAcentral.